UACGUAGGUGGCAAGCGUUGUCCGGAAUUAUUGGGCGUAAAGCGCGCGCAGGCGGCCUUUUAAGUCUGAUGUGAAAGCCCUCGGCUCAACCGGGGAAGGUCAUUGGAAACUGAGAGGCUUGAGUACAGAAGAGGAAAGCGGAAUUCCACGUGUAGCGGUGAAAUGCGUAGAGAUGCGGAGGAACACCGAUGGCGAAGGCAGCCCCCUGGGCCAACACUGACGCUCAGGCACGAAAGCGUGGGGAGCAAACAGG
This 253-nucleotide ribosomal RNA is filed under the name uncultured bacterium. RNAcentral describes it as "partial 16S ribosomal RNA". It matches the Rfam family "Bacterial small subunit ribosomal RNA", at positions 524 to 776 of the family's 1533-position model. The record is from RNAcentral.